GAUGAACGCUGGCGGCGUGCCUAAUACAUGCCAGUCGAGCGGACGGACGAGAAGCUUGCUUCUCUGAUGUUAGCGGCGGACGGGUGAGUAACACGUGGAUAACCUCCCUAUAAGACUGGGAUAACUUCGGGAAACCGGAGCUAAUACCGGAUGAUAUUUUGAACCGCAUGGUUCGAUGGUGAAAGACGGUCUUGCUGUCACUUCUAGAUGGAUCCGCGCUGCAUUAGCUAGUUGUUAAGGUUACGGCUUACCAAGGCAACGAUGCAUAGCCGACCUGAGAGAGGGGUAGGCGACACGGGAGCGGAGACGCGGUCCUUGCGCCUGCGGGAGGCAGCAGUAGGGAAUCGUCCGCAGUGGGCGAGAGCCUGGCGGAGCAGCCGCGAGUGAGAGAUGAAGGUCUUCGGAUCGUAAAACUCUGUUAUGAGUGAUGAACAGAUGUGGAAGGAAACGAGCAGAGCGUGACGGUACCUAAUCAGAAAGCCACGGCUAACUACGUG
This 497-nucleotide ribosomal RNA is filed under the name uncultured bacterium. RNAcentral describes it as "partial 16S ribosomal RNA". It matches the Rfam family "Bacterial small subunit ribosomal RNA", at positions 28 to 507 of the family's 1533-position model. The record is from RNAcentral.